This 382-nucleotide ribosomal RNA is filed under the name uncultured eukaryote. RNAcentral describes it as "partial 18S ribosomal RNA". It matches the Rfam family "Eukaryotic small subunit ribosomal RNA", at positions 592 to 976 of the family's 1831-position model. The record is from RNAcentral.
CAAUAGCGUAUAUUAAAGUUGUUGCAGUUAAAAAGCUCGUAGUUGGAUUUCUGGUUGAAGCGACCGGUCGGGCGUUGAUUCGUCUGCACUGGUGUCGGUUUUGGCCAUCCUCUAGGAAAGUGCGUCUGGUAUUAAGUUAUCGGGCGUAUGAUCCUGGUCUUUUACUGUGAAAAAAUUAGAGUGUUUAAAGCAGGCCUUCGCCUUGAAUACAUUAGCAUGGAAUAAUAAGAUAGGACUUUGGUCUAUUUUGUUGGUUUGCAGGCCGAAGUAAUGAUUAAUAGGGAUAGUUGGGGGUAUUUAUAUUCCGAUGUCAGAGGUGAAAUUCUUAGAUUUUCGGAAGAUAAACUUAUGCGAAAGCAUUUACCAAGGAUGUUUUCAUUGA